AAAGCCAGCCCACUGCCCAACUCUAAAUUCUAAUCCCUUUCUCUCUCGGACUCUCCCCACUCUUGUAAGCCGUAACCCUCUCUCCCGACCCGCCGUGGUGCCGUCUGUUCUUCUUAGCCACAAUCUCCCGCCGUCUGCUCUUCCAAAAAACUCUGAUUUGACAGCCACGAUCUUCUCGUCCUCCAUUUGUACGACCUCUUCCUCUUUAUUUCUCUACAUAAGUAUUUCUCCCUCUUCAAACUUUCUCUACACUCAUAGUUCCUAUUUCUGACCACGAUCGACACAUCGUUUCUUGCGUUGGAUUCAUCUCUUCCUCUUGUUGAUCUGUUCAGUUUUACAUUGUCCAGAAACACAUUCAUCUGAGCGAGUCGAAUCCCCAAAGUCUGUCAUUUUCUGGCGAUUUAUAUGACGGCGCAGAAGCAAUGGACGCUAGAGAUUCAGAUUCAGUAAACGAUGAGGAGUCCAUUGUGCAUGGCAUCACACUCGCAAUAAGGUGGGCAUUGGGAUCCCUUGCAUAUAGUCUCAUCUAAUCUCCUUAUUGUUAGUGCCUAUAGGCAUGGCACAUAGCAAGAGUAGUCUUCGUCAGUGGCCGGCUGUACCAUUCUUGCACAGCUAGAAGAUUGAUUUGUGUUUUGGUUCUAAAUUCUAAUCAAGCAAUUGUGGGAUUGAGUCCCACUGGGCGUUCAACCUUUUUUUCACUUAAAAAAAGUAUUAUGUUUUUUAUUUAAUUA
Malus domestica (apple) is the source of this 731-nucleotide non-coding RNA. The record is from RefSeq and is a predicted model, not a curated record. NCBI's taxonomy places the organism in Eukaryota, Viridiplantae, Streptophyta, Magnoliopsida, Rosales, Rosaceae.